RNAcentral lists this ribosomal RNA (440 nucleotides) under uncultured bacterium. RNAcentral describes it as "partial 16S ribosomal RNA". It matches the Rfam family "Bacterial small subunit ribosomal RNA", at positions 338 to 795 of the family's 1533-position model. The record is from RNAcentral.
CCUACGGGGGGCAGCAGUAGGGAAUAUUGCUCAAUGGGGGAAACCCUGAAGCAGCAACGCCGCGUGGAGGAUGAAGGUUUUCGGAUUGUAAACUCCUUUUGUCAGAGAAGAUAAUGACGGUAUCUAACGAAUAAGCACCGGCUAACUCCGUGCCAGCAGCCGCGGUAAUACGGAGGGUGCAAGCGUUACUCGGAUUCACUGGGCGUAAAGAGCGCGUAGGCGGGAUAGCAAGUCAGAAGUGAAAUCCUAUGGCUUAACCAUAGGACUGCAUUUGAAACUGGUAUUCUAGAGUAUUGGAGAGGUAGGUGGAAUUCUUGGUGUAGGGGUAAAAUCCGUAGAGAUUAGGAGGAAUACUCGUGGCGAAGGCGACCUGCUAGAACAUGACUGACACUGAUGCGCGAAAGCGUGGGGAGCAAACAGGAUGAGAUACCCGUGUAGUC